This 1233-nucleotide ribosomal RNA is filed under the name uncultured Faecalibacterium sp. Its description in RNAcentral is "bacterial SSU rRNA". It matches the Rfam family "Bacterial small subunit ribosomal RNA", at positions 262 to 1520 of the family's 1533-position model. The record is from RNAcentral. Lineage: Bacteria; Bacillati; Bacillota; Clostridia; Eubacteriales; Oscillospiraceae.
GGCCCACCAAGGCGACGAUCGGUAGCCGGACUGAGAGGUUGAACGGCCACAUUGGGACUGAGACACGGCCCAGACUCCUACGGGAGGCAGCAGUGGGGAAUAUUGCACAAUGGGGGAAACCCUGAUGCAGCGACGCCGCGUGGAGGAAGAAGGUCUUCGGAUUGUAAACUCCUGUUGUUGGGGAAGAUAAUGACGGUACCCAACAAGGAAGUGACGGCUAACUACGUGCCAGCAGCCGCGGUAAAACGUAGGUCACAAGCGUUGUCCGGAAUUACUGGGUGUAAAGGGAGCGCAGGCGGGAAGACAAGUUGGAAGUGAAAUCUAUGGGCUCAACCCAUAAACUGCUUUCAAAACUGUUUUUCUUGAGUAGUGCAGAGGUAGGCGGAAUUCCCGGUGUAGCGGUGGAAUGCGUAGAUAUCGGGAGGAACACCAGUGGCGAAGGCGGCCUACUGGGCACCAACUGACGCUGAGGCUCGAAAGUGUGGGUAGCAAACAGGAUUAGAUACCCUGGUAGUCCACACCGUAAACGAUGAUUACUAGGUGUUGGAGGAUUGACCCCUUCAGUGCCGCAGUUAACACAAUAAGUAAUCCACCUGGGGAGUACGACCGCAAGGUUGAAACUCAAAGGAAUUGACGGGGGCCCGCACAAGCAGUGGAGUAUGUGGUUUAAUUCGACGCAACGCGAAGAACCUUACCAAGUCUUGACAUCCCUUGACAGGCAUAGAAAUAUGUUUUCUCUUCGGAGCAAGGAGACAGGUGGUGCAUGGUUGUCGUCAGCUCGUGUCGUGAGAUGUUGGGUUAAGUCCCGCAACGAGCGCAACCCUUAUGGUCAGUUACUACGCAAGAGGACUCUGGCCAGACUGCCGUUGACAAAACGGAGGAAGGUGGGGAUGACGUCAAAUCAUCAUGCCCUUUAUGACUUGGGCUACACACGUACUACAAUGGCGUUAAACAAAGAGAAGCAAGACCGCGAGGUGGAGCAAAACUCAGAAACAACGUCCCAGUUCGGACUGCAGGCUGCAACUCGCCUGCACGAAGUCGGAAUUGCUAGUAAUCGUGGAUCAGCAUGCCACGGUGAAUACGUUCCCGGGCCUUGUACACACCGCCCGUCACACCAUGAGAGCCGGGGGGACCCGAAGUCGGUAGUCUAACCGCAAGGAGGACGCCGCCGAAGGUAAAACUGGUGAUUGGGGUGAAGUCGUAACAAGGUAGCCGUAGGAGAACCUGCGGCUG